RNAcentral lists this transfer RNA (72 nucleotides) under Acropora cervicornis. RNAcentral's name for it is "tRNA-Ala". It matches the Rfam family "tRNA". Rfam says of the family: Transfer RNA (tRNA) molecules are approximately 80 nucleotides in length. Their secondary structure includes four short double-helical elements and three loops (D, anti-codon, and T loops). Lineage: Eukaryota; Metazoa; Cnidaria; Anthozoa; Scleractinia; Acroporidae. The record is from RNAcentral.
GCCUCGUUAGCUCAGUGGCAGAGCAUUGAUCUCGCAAACCAAGAGUCGAGGGUUCAAAUCCCUCACAAGGCU